GACGAACGUUGGCGGCGUGCUUAAUACAUGCAAGUCAACUGAAGCAGUGGUAGCAAUAUCGCUGUGGAGGUGGCGCACGGGUGAGUAACACGUAGGUAAUCUGCCUUCAGGUCUGGCAUAACUCCGGGAAACCGGGGCUAAUAGCAGAUGAUGCAGCGGCUCGACAUCGAGACAGUUGUUAAAGCUAUGGCGCCUGAAGAUGAGCCUGCGUCUGAUUAGCUAGUUGGCGGGGUAACGGCCCACCAAGGCAACGAUCAGUAGCUGGUCUGAGAGGAUGAUCAGGCACACUGGAACUGAGACACGGUCCAGACUCCUACGGGAGGCAGAAGUAAGGAAUAUUGCUCAAUGGGAGAAAUCCUGAAGCAGCAACGCCGCGUGAGGGACGAAGGGCUUUUGAUUGUAAACCUCUGUAGUGAGAGAAAAAAAUCCCAAUCUUUGGGACAUGAUGGUAUCUCAAAAGUAAGCCCCGGCUAACUACGUG
RNAcentral lists this ribosomal RNA (481 nucleotides) under uncultured bacterium. RNAcentral describes it as "partial 16S ribosomal RNA". It matches the Rfam family "Bacterial small subunit ribosomal RNA", at positions 28 to 507 of the family's 1533-position model. The record is from RNAcentral.